AGUCGUAACAAGGUAUCCGUAGGUGAACCUGCGGAUGGAUCAUUAACAAAGGUGUUUUUGAAGUUGUGUGAACAGUUGGAGGUGGUGGUGGUGGUAUUGGGUGGUACUGGGUGGUAUUGGGUGGUAUUGGGUGGUGUAACCUUGGUCUAACCUUGGUCAACCUCACUCAACCUCACUCAACCUCACUCUCCCAACCUCACUCUCCCAACCUCACUCUCCCAACCUCCACCACUCCGUCCCUAUAAUGUAUACAAACUGAUGUCUGCUAGUUUCAAACUAAAACAACUUUUAGCAACGGAUCUCUUGGCUCUC
This 312-nucleotide unclassified non-coding RNA is filed under the name fungal sp. RNAcentral describes it as "partial internal transcribed spacer region". The stretch from base 1 to 45 matches the Rfam family "Eukaryotic small subunit ribosomal RNA", at positions 1787 to 1831 of the family's 1831-position model. Lineage: Eukaryota; Fungi. The record is from RNAcentral.